This is a long non-coding RNA of Sitodiplosis mosellana (orange wheat blossom midge), 569 nucleotides long. RefSeq lists it as uncharacterized. The transcript is spliced from 3 exons. NCBI's taxonomy places the organism in Eukaryota, Metazoa, Arthropoda, Insecta, Diptera, Cecidomyiidae. The record is from RefSeq and is a predicted model, not a curated record.
UUUAUUUUAUGAUUUAUGAAUUGGCUUUUAUAAGCUUUAUGAUAAACAUAGCGUUGGUAUUCUGUGCUCAUUUUCGAUUUUUUUUUUCUGCCAAUUUUAAAUCGCCAAUUUGAUUUGUUGCUUCUACCCAAAAUUCCGUUUAAUUUGCUCAAGCUCAGCCUCUUCUAACAUACGAUCGAUUUCGAAAUUCAUGGUUUUGUUAACUGUUCGAAAAGCAAUAGGUCGUCUCUUGCCACGAUGUCUGCACCUUUUUGGAGGAUGAACUCGAGGAACCCUGGAGGAAGUGCUUCUAGAGUCAGAACAGCGUGCCUGUAAGACUAAUGAAGAUUGCGAUUAUGGAAAAAUCUGUGUCUUCGAUUCGUGUGUGUUUCUCUGUGGAGCUCCUUUGGUAUAAGAACCAAUAAUAAUGAAAAUAAAAUGUAAUUUUCAUUUGCAUGCUUGCAAAAAGUGCCACAAAAUACAAUUCCAUUCACCCAGAAGCAAUCAGAGUUUCAUAUUCACUCAAAUUAACUAUAAUGACCGACAAUGUAUUCAAAACGGACUGGCACAUAUAAAUAAAACUAUCAAUG